UGGCGGCAUGCUUUACACAUGCAAGUCGAACGGCAGCGCGGGGGCAACCCUGGCGGCGAGUGGCGAACGGGUGAGUAAUAUAUCGGAACGUACCCAAGAGUGGGGGAUAACGUAGCGAAAGUUACGCUAAUACCGCAUACGAUCCAAGGAUGAAAGCAGGGGACCGCAAGGCCUUGUGCUCCUGGAGCGGCCGAUAUCUGAUUAGCUAGUUGGUAGGGUAAAGGCCUACCAAGGCAUCGAUCAGUAGCUGGUCUGAGAGGACGACCAGCCACACUGGAACUGAGACACGGUCCAGACUCCUACGGGAGGCAGCAGUGGGGAAUUUUGGACAAUGGGCGCAAGCCUGAUCCAGCAAUGCCGCGUGAGUGAAGAAGGCCUUCGGGUUGUAAAGCUCUUUUGUCAGGGAAGAAACGGUUGUGGCUAAUAUCCGCAACUAAUGACGGUACCUGAAGAAUAAGCACCGGCUAACUACGUGCCAGCAGCCGCGGUAAUACGUAGGGUGCAAGCGUUAAUCGGAAUUACUGGGCGUAAAGCGUGCGCAGGCGGUUUUGUAAGUCUGUCGUGAAAUCCCCGGGCUCAACCUGGGAAUGGCGAUGGAGACUGCAAGGCUAGAAUCUGGCAGAGGGGGGUAGAAUUCCACGUGUAGCAGUGAAAUGCGUAGAGAUGUGGAGGAACACCGAUGGCGAAGGCAGCCCCCUGGGUCAAGAUUGACGCUCAUGCACGAAA
Molecule: ribosomal RNA, 726 nt
Filed under: uncultured soil bacterium
Lineage: Bacteria
Description: bacterial SSU rRNA
Rfam family: Bacterial small subunit ribosomal RNA
Source: RNAcentral